GAUGAACGCUGGCGGCGUGCCUAAUACAUGCAAGUCGAGCGAACGGACGAGAAGCUUGCUUCUCUGAUGUUAGCGGCGGACGGGUGAGUAACACGUGGAUAACCUACCUAUAAGACUGGGAUAACUUCGGGAAACCGGAGCUAAUACCGGAUAAUAUUUUGAACCGCAUGGUUCAAAAGUGAAAGACGGUCUUGCUGUCACUUAUAGAUGGAUCCGCGCUGCAUUAGCUAGUUGGUAAGGUAACGGCUUACCAAGGCAACGAUGCAUAGCCGACCUGAGAGAGUGAUCGGCCACACUGGGACUGGGACACGGUCCAGACUCCGACGGGAGGCAGCAGUAGGGAAUCUUCCGCAAUGGGCGAAAGCCUGACGGAGCAACGCCGCGUGAGUGAUGAAGGUCUUCGGAUCGUAAAACUCUGUUAUUAGGGAAGAACAUAUGUGUAAGUAACUGUGCACAUCUUGACGGUACCUAAUCAGAAAGCCACGGCUAACUAGGUG
RNAcentral lists this ribosomal RNA (497 nucleotides) under uncultured bacterium. RNAcentral describes it as "partial 16S ribosomal RNA". It matches the Rfam family "Bacterial small subunit ribosomal RNA", at positions 28 to 507 of the family's 1533-position model. The record is from RNAcentral.